This 559-nucleotide ribosomal RNA is filed under the name uncultured Syndiniales. Its description in RNAcentral is "SSU rRNA". It matches the Rfam family "Eukaryotic small subunit ribosomal RNA", at positions 194 to 754 of the family's 1831-position model. The record is from RNAcentral. Lineage: Eukaryota; Dinophyceae; Syndiniales.
GGAAGGGUUGUAUUUAUUAGAUACAGAACCAAUAGGGCUUGCCCUUUUUUGGAUGAUUCAUAAUAAAUGAACGGACCGUAUGGCUUGUGCCGACGCUGUUUCAUUCAAGAUUCUGACCUAUCAGCUUUCGACGGUAGGGUAUUGGCCUACCGUGGCAUUGACGGGUAACGGAGAAUUAGGGUUCGAUUCCGGAGAGGGAGCCCGAGAAACGGCUACCACAUCUAAGGAAGGCAGCAGGCGCGCAAAUUACCCUUUUUUUACACGUGGAGGUAGUGACAAGAAAUAACAAAGCAAGCCAGUAUUCUGGUUUUGCUAUUGGAAUGAGUAGAAUUUAAAUCUCUUUACGACUAUCAAUUGGAGGGCAAGUCUGGUGCCAGCAGCCGCGGUAAUUCCAGCUCCAAUAGCGUAUAUUAAAGUUGUUGCGGUUAAAAAGCUCGUAGUUGGAUUUCUGUCGAGAACGGCCGGUCCGCACUAUGUGCGUGUAUCUGGUUCGGUCUUGGCAUCCUCUUGGAGAACGUAACUGCGCUUGAUUGCGUGGUGCGGUAUUUCAAGACUUUUA